CCUACGGGAGGCUGCAGUGGGGAAUAUUGGGCAAUGGAGGAAACUCUGACCCAGCAAAGCCGCGUGAAUGAUGAAGGUCUUCGGAUUGUAAAGUUCUUUUCUAAGGGAAGAAGAAAGUGACGGUACCUUAGGAAUAAGCCUCGGCUAACUACGUGCAAGCAGCCGCGGUAAUACGUAGGCGGCAAGCGUUAUCCGGAAUGACUGGGCGUAAAGGGUGCGUAGGUGGUUUGAUAAGUUGGUAGCGUAACUCCGAGGCUCAACCUCGGCACUACUGCCAAAACUGUCGGACUUGAGUGCAGGAGGGGCAAGUGGAAUGCCUAGUGUAGCGGUGGAAGGCGUAGAUAUUAGGAGGAACACCAGUUGCGAAGGCGAGUUGCUGGACUGUAACUGACACUGAGGCACGAAAGCGUGGGGAGCAAACAGGAUUAGAUACCCGGGUAGUC
RNAcentral lists this ribosomal RNA (443 nucleotides) under uncultured bacterium. RNAcentral describes it as "partial 16S ribosomal RNA". It matches the Rfam family "Bacterial small subunit ribosomal RNA", at positions 338 to 795 of the family's 1533-position model. The record is from RNAcentral.